Molecule: long non-coding RNA, 730 nt
Filed under: Homo sapiens (human)
Lineage: Eukaryota; Metazoa; Chordata; Mammalia; Primates; Hominidae
Description: non-protein coding lnc-TSC22D2-3:1
Source: RNAcentral
AGUCCAAUUCUUAAUACACAACACAGGGAAUGUUCAAUAAAUGUCACUGUCUAACUGAUAGUAUUAAUGCUAAAGGGUUACUUCUCUUUGCCUAGGCCAUUGCUUAAUUAUUUCAAAUUAUGAAAUUGGAGGAGGAACAAGACCAAGGUAUCAAAGUAAUCAUUGUUUAAUUUUUGGCAAGAAACUUUAACUUCAAGUUUGUUUGCUAGAAUUCACUAGGUCUGCUGAUGCCCUCACAUGGUUGGAGGGUUAUUCUAGCUUCUAAGGACUGAAUGUUGUCCACAAGAGUGUCAUCAGGUCAUAAAUUGGUAAGACUUAAUGGCUUAGAUUUUAUGUAUUAUACCUGAUGUUAUUGUAUUGAGAUGAAUAUUUAUGAACAAAAUGAGCACAUUGUGUAAGAGUAUAGUAUUAAAUAUAAGUUAAAACUUGGAAUUUUAAAUACUUGGAGUAUGUAAGCCUUUCGAAGUCUCUUGAGGCUGAAGGCCGUAUCUUUGCAGUGGUGUUUAGUAAAUACAUCAGUUUAAAAAAAGAAAGUGAAAUCCUGUAUUAUAGUAAGAUUAUUAAAAUAUUGCUAUUGCAUCUGCUGUAGAUGCCUACAAUAUAGUGAAGAACCCAAAUACUUUUUAGGUGUUAUACCAGGAGAUAUUUGAGAAAUAAUAUAUUCAUCUUUUCUUUAAAAAAAAUCCAUUUUCUUAAUAACAUACAGCUUAAUUUUAUUGCUUUGGAGAUU